This 492-nucleotide ribosomal RNA is filed under the name uncultured bacterium. Its description in RNAcentral is "partial 16S ribosomal RNA". It matches the Rfam family "Bacterial small subunit ribosomal RNA", at positions 29 to 507 of the family's 1533-position model. The record is from RNAcentral.
AGUGGACGCUGGCGGUAGGCCUAACACAUGCAAGUCGAACGGCAGCACAGUAAGAGCUUGCUCUUACGGGUGGCGAGUGGCGGACGGGUGAGGAAUACAUCGGAAUCUACUUUUUCGUGGGGGAUAACGUAGGGAAACUUACGCUAAUACCGCAUACGACCUACGGGUGAAAGCAGGGGAUCUUCGGACCUUGCGCGAUUGAAUGAGCCGAUGUCGGAUUAGCUAGUUGGCGGGGUAAAGGCCCACCAAGGCGACGAUCCGUAGCUGGUCUGAGAGGAUGAUCAGCCACACUGGAACUGAGACACGGUCCAGACUCCUACGGGAGGCAGCAGUGGGGAAUAUUGGACAGUGGGCGCAAGCCUGAUCCAGCCAUACCGCGUGGGUGAAGAAGGCCUUCGGGUUGUAAAGCCCUUUUGUUGGGAAAGAAAAGCAGCAGGUUAAUACCCCGCUGUUCUGACGGUACCCAAAGAAUAAGCACCGGCUAACUUCGUG